Molecule: ribosomal RNA, 484 nt
Filed under: uncultured bacterium
Lineage: Bacteria
Description: partial 16S ribosomal RNA
Rfam family: Bacterial small subunit ribosomal RNA
Source: RNAcentral
AUUGAACGCUGGCGGCAGGCCUAACACAUGCCAGUCGAGCGGAUGAAGGGAGCUUGCUCCUGGAUUCAGCGGCGGACGGGUGAGUAAUGCCUAGGAAUCUGCCUGGUAGUGGGGGAUAACGUCCGGAAACGGGCGCUAAUACCGCAUACGUCCUGAGGGAGAAAGUGGGGGAUCUUCGGACCUCACGCUAUCAGAUGAUCCUAGGUCGGAUUAGCUAGUUGGUGGGGUAAAGGCCUACCAAGGCGACGAUCCGUAACUGGUCUGAGAGGAUGAUCAGGCACACUGGAACUGAGACACGGUCCAGACUCCUACGGGAGGCAGCAGUGGGGAAUAUUGGACAAUGGGCGAAAGCCUGAUCCAGCCAUGCCGCGUGUGUGAAGAAGGUCUUCGGAUUGUAAAGCACUUUAAGUUGGGAGGAAGGGCAGUAAGUUAAUACCUUGCUGUUUUGACGUUACCAACAGAAUAAGCACCGGCUAACUUCGUA